UUUGUCCAGUUGCUUCUGUUUUGGAAAUUCUUUCAGAGCCAGCUAGAUCAACAAGGGUGAGCRUUCCAUGUGAUAUGGAGUUUGAAAUUUGGUCAACGCCCUUGAUGUUGAGGAUCAAGACCAGAUGUGAAAGAGCUGCUGGAUGGAUCGCAUGUUGACACCAGGAUUAGAGACUGUACCCAUCAUGGUGUAUGUCUUUCCUGAACCUGUUGUGGUAAUUCUCAAGCAGAAUUUUCAUAUUGAAGCAACUCUUGAAGCACAGGAGAGAAUAAACCAUAUCAGAAGCAACAUGUUUGAACAUAUAUGAGAUGGCAGGUUUGAGGAUUGAACCCAACGACCACAGUGGUGAGAGGCAGUAUAUAUUAGAAGUUAGUUAAAAUAUCUUACACUGAUAAGAAGUUGUCAUUAAAAACCUAGCUAACUUACCUGUUUGACCAUAUGCCAUUAUACAAACA
Long non-coding RNA from Actinia tenebrosa (Australian red waratah sea anemone), 455 nucleotides. RefSeq lists it as uncharacterized. The record is from RefSeq and is a predicted model, not a curated record. Lineage: Eukaryota; Metazoa; Cnidaria; Anthozoa; Actiniaria; Actiniidae.